GUGGGGGUGGGAAUACGAGGAGGAAUCUGAGUCUGUGUGUUUUGACUGAGGCAAACUGUAAAAGAGGUAGGGUAGGUUAAAUAGGGAUAAAACGGUAAAAAUAAAAAUAAACAUAAAGGUUAAUUUUGUAUUUAAAAAAAAGUCCAAAAAAAUUGGGGAGUGGGGGUUGGAACUGGGGAGGUACAGGGAGUAACUCCCUUUUUUCUUACUAAUCCGCAUCAGUGGAUUAAAUAUAGUAACACUUUAUAAAUUAUAUAUCCGUAUAGCAUGCUACCAUUUUUUUCUUGCUAUC
RNAcentral lists this long non-coding RNA (292 nucleotides) under Vigna radiata. Its description in RNAcentral is "long non-coding RNA (VRAD_LNC009339)". The record is from RNAcentral. Lineage: Eukaryota; Viridiplantae; Streptophyta; Magnoliopsida; Fabales; Fabaceae.